Molecule: ribosomal RNA, 990 nt
Filed under: human gut metagenome
Description: bacterial LSU rRNA
Rfam family: Bacterial large subunit ribosomal RNA
Source: RNAcentral
CCGUAACUAUAACGGUCCUAAGGUAGCGAAAUUCCUUGUCGGGCAAGUUCCGACCCGCACGAAAGGCGUAACGAUUUGGGCGCUGUCUCAGCUGUAGACUCGGUGAAGUCUUAGUACCUGUGAAGAUGCAGGUUACCCGCGACUAGACGGAAAGACCCCAUGGAGCUUCACUGCAGGUUGAUAUUGGGAUUUGAUGCAGCAUGUACAGGAUAGGUAGGAGGCAAAGAGAUGGAUACGCCAGUAUUCAAGGAGCCGCUGUUGGGAUACUACCCCUGUUGUAUUGGAUUUCUAACCGGACGACGUAAGCCGUUGACGGGACAGUGUCAGUCGGGCAGUUUGACUGGGGCGGUCGCCUCCCAAAGAGUAACGGAGGCGCCCAAAGAUACCCUCAGCUUGGAUGGAAACCAAGCGCAGAGUGCAAAGGCAAAAGGGUGUUUGACUGCGAGACCCACAAGUCGAGCAGGGACGAAAGUCGGGCUUAGUGAUCCGGCGGUGCUGAAUGGAAAGGCCGUCGCUCAACGGAUAAAAGCUACCCUGGGGAUAACAGGCUGAUCUCCCCCAAGAGUCCACAUCGACGGGGAGGUUUGGCACCUCGAUGUCGGCUCAUCGCAUCCUGGGGCUGUAUUCGGUCCCAAGGGUUUGGCUGUUCGCCAAUUAAAGCGGUACGCGAGCUGGGUUCAGAACGUCGUGAGACAGUUCGGUCCCUAUCUGUCGUGGGCGCAGGAGGUUUGAGGAGAGCUGCCCCUAGUACGAGAGGACCGGGGUGGACGGACCGAUGGUGCACCAGUUGUCACGCCAGUGGCACAGCUGGGCAGCCAAGUCCGGACGGGAUAAGCGCUGAAGGCAUCUAAGCGUGAAGCCCCCUCCAAGAUGAGACCUCCCAUUGGCGACAAGUAAGGCCCCUCGAAGACGACGAGGUUGAUAGGCCGCGAGUGCAAGCGCAGCGAUGUGCUUAGCGGGGCGGUACUAAUAGGCCGAGGACUUGGCCAA